This is a long non-coding RNA of Sitophilus oryzae (rice weevil), 653 nucleotides long. RefSeq lists it as uncharacterized. Lineage: Eukaryota; Metazoa; Arthropoda; Insecta; Coleoptera; Curculionidae. The transcript has 3 exons. The record is from RefSeq and is a predicted model, not a curated record.
GUGAUUUGUUUAUAUAAUAAGUGAGGUUAGAAAGGAUCUUCAAAUUUUGUUCAAAUUUCAUUUAUUUAGUCUUUUUUAAGGGCCUUAAUUAUUGGCUGGUUUAAGCUACAUGUUUAGUUAUUACGACGAUUUAAUUUAAAGGCAGGAGACUGUAUAAUUAUUACUAUGAUCCCUUCUCAGUCCUAUGGGAUACCCAAAAACCGGAACUCAAUUUUAACUUUAAAACAGUUUAUAUUAAAACAAGAAGUUAAGAACUUAUAUAGGCAGAUAUUUCGUGCAAUUCGAGAAGUUCCAGACAAGAAUUAUCAAGAGGAGUUGAAAGAUUGGGCUCGAAGAGAUUUUAGACAGAACGCUCAUUAUACUGAUGAAGUUGCUAUUAAAAUGUCGUUGCAGUAUGGACAGAGGUGUUUGAAGCAGUUAGAAAACAGUAUAGCAUUUGCAAAAUAGAUUGAUGUUGAAAAAAUUGAAACAAUAAUAUAAUUAUAUUAUUGUUUAAGAAAAUGACUUAAUGUAUUAUAAUAUGGAUGCCAAUGAUGAGAUGAACUAAUGAAAUAGUUAAGUUCAAAUACAUUUGUUACUAAAGUUGUAGCUUUUAAUUGAAAUACAGUGUUUCUUCUCCCUAAGUGGAUUUAUUUCAGCUAAAAUGUUAGAUG